CUUAAUUUGACUCAACACGGGAAAACUCACCAGGAUAGGACAGAAUGAGGAUUGACAGGUUGAAUAUGGUCCUUUCUUGAUUUUUUGGAAGGUGGUGCAUGGCCGUUCUUAGUUCGUGGAGUGAUCUGUCUACUUAAUUGUGUUAACGAACGAGACCUUAACCUGUUAACUAGGCACUAGUUGAAUUUUAUUCAUGGGUUUCUAACGAAAUCUAGGUCAUUCGGGUUUUACCCGAGCUUCUUAAAGGGACAAUACUGUGUAUUUUAUAUUUUAGCGUAGGGAAGUUUAAGGCAAUAACAGGUCUGUGAUGCCCUGAGAUAUCCUGGGCGGCACGCGUACUACAAUGUCAUUGACAACAGGCUUUCCGCUUCGGCGGGCCUCUACCAAAAUGUAGGGGAAAACGUGUCAAACACUUAUAUGACUGGGAUAGCUGUUUGUAAUUACAUCUUAAACGAGGAAUUCCUAGUAAGCGCAAGUCAUCAUCUUGCAUUGAUUACGUCCCUGUCUUUUGUACACACCGCCCGUCGCUCCUACCGAUUGGAUAGCAAGGUGAACUUGAUGGACUCUAACGAGAAAAUUUAUUAAACCUUUCCAUCUCUAGGAAGGAGAAGUCGUAACAAGGUACC
This 626-nucleotide ribosomal RNA is filed under the name uncultured eukaryote. RNAcentral's name for it is "bacterial SSU rRNA". It matches the Rfam family "Eukaryotic small subunit ribosomal RNA", at positions 1189 to 1803 of the family's 1831-position model. The record is from RNAcentral.